Molecule: non-coding RNA, 819 nt
Organism: Vicugna pacos (alpaca)
Lineage: Eukaryota; Metazoa; Chordata; Mammalia; Artiodactyla; Camelidae
Source: RefSeq, a predicted model, not a curated record
GAGAGAGGCCAGGUCUUGAGGACAUCACUUGAGGCCCCAGGCUUUGCUUAAGUCUGUUCAAAGGUCCAUUUACUCAUGUAAGUGACUUGUAACAGCAAGGGUCUUGGCAACACUACUGGAAGAGGGAGAACAGGGAGAGGAUGGGCAGGGGAUGAGUUUCACCCUGGACACAUGGAACAGGGGGCCCUGUGGGACCGCCAGUGAGCAGUGUUGGAAAGGCAGAGACUUGGCAGUCCCUCCUGUGGGGAUGAUAGUUUAAAUAUUCCUCGGAGUAAAUGACGGCGCCCAGAGACGGCGUGAAGUGAGGAGAGACGUGGGCUAAGGUCAGAACCUGGGGCGACCUGACGGAGGGACAGGGAGAGGAAGAGGAGCCGGGGAAGGUCAGUGAGGAGGUGAGGAUGGCAGAGCGAAUGUUCUGGAAGGGGAAGCCGGACCAUGGUGUCCAGCUCUGCUCUGAGGUCAGGUUGGCCAAGAGUGAAAAGAAGCCGCUGGAUUUGGAAACUAGGCCGCUGCUGACCUGCGGCGCAGUGGGUGUUGACAUAGGAUCCAAAGUUUCCUGUUUUGAGUUUUUUUCACUCCCAAUCCAACCAGGCUACUGGAAGAUGGAGAACAGGGAGAGGAUGGACAGGGGAGGCACUGGGGAUUGAAGCCAGGACCUUGUGCACGCUGAGCACAUGCUCUCCCACUGAGCUGUACCCGCCCACCCAGUAUACACAGUAAUGAGACAUUUUGUAAUAUAUUAAAAAUAAGAUAUUCUUACUUUGCGUCUUCAAAACCUUGUGUGGAUUGUACACUCAGCAUCUCAGUUCAGACUGGGCA